AGCGAACGCUGGCGGCAGGCUUAACACAUGCAAGUCGAGCGGGCACUUUCGGGUGUCAGCGGCGGACGGGUGAGUAACGCGUGGGAACGUGCCCUCUGGUUCGGAAUAACUCAGGGAAACUUGAGCUAAUACCGGAUACGCCCUUUUGGGGAAAGGCUUGCUGCCGGAGGAUCGGCCCGCGUCUGAUUAGCUAGUUGGUGAGGUAACGGCUCACCAAGGCGACGAUCAGUAGCUGGUCUGAGAGGAUGAUCAGCCACACUGGGACUGAGACACGGCCCAGACUCCUACGGGAAGCAGCAGUGGGGAAUAUUGGACAGUGGGCGCAAGCCUGAUCCAGCCAUGCCGCGUGAGUGAUGAAGGCCUUAGGGUUGUAAAGCUCUUUUAUCCGGGACGAUAAUGACGGUACCGGAGGAAUAAGCCCCGGCUAACUUCGUG
RNAcentral lists this ribosomal RNA (435 nucleotides) under uncultured bacterium. RNAcentral's name for it is "partial 16S ribosomal RNA". It matches the Rfam family "Bacterial small subunit ribosomal RNA", at positions 29 to 507 of the family's 1533-position model. The record is from RNAcentral.